UGGGGAAUCUUCCGCAAUGGACGAAAGUCUGACGGAGCAACGCCGCGUGAACGAUGACGGCCUUCGGGUUGUAAAGUUCUGUUAUACGGGACGAAUGGUACGACGGCCAAUACCCGUCGUAAGUGACGGUACCGUAAGAGAAAGCCACGGCUAACUACGUGCCAGCAGCCGCGGUAAUACGUAGGUGGCAAGCGUUGUCCGGAAUUAUUGGGCGUAAAGGGCGCGCAGGCGGCGUCGUAAGUCGGUCUUAAAAGUGCGGGGCUUAACCCCGUGAGGGGACCGAAACUGCGAUGCUAGAGUAUCGGAGAGGAAAGCGGAAUUCCUAGUGUAGCGGUGAAAUGCGUAGAUAUUAGGAGGAACACCAGUGGCGAAAGCGGCUUUCUGGACGACAACUGACGCUGAGGCGCGAAAGCCAGGGGAGCAAACAGGAUUAGAUACCCUGGUAGUCCACGCCGUAAACGAUGAAUGCCAGUCGUCGGGUUGCAUGCAAUUCGGUGACACACCUAACGGAUUAAGCAUUCCGCCUGGGGAGUACGGUCGCAAGAUUA
This 548-nucleotide ribosomal RNA is filed under the name uncultured bacterium. RNAcentral's name for it is "bacterial SSU rRNA". It matches the Rfam family "Bacterial small subunit ribosomal RNA", at positions 355 to 896 of the family's 1533-position model. The record is from RNAcentral.